Molecule: ribosomal RNA, 382 nt
Filed under: uncultured eukaryote
Lineage: Eukaryota
Description: partial 18S ribosomal RNA
Rfam family: Eukaryotic small subunit ribosomal RNA
Source: RNAcentral
UGUAAGCGUAUACCAAAGUUGUUGCAGUUAAAACGCUCGUAGUCGGAAUUUGGCAGUUCCGGAAGUGUGCACGUCGUGUGCGCACUUUGCGGGGACUGCUUUUGUGGUCUUGCGUAGGAUGAGGCACUUUCAUUAGUGAACGUCCUCACGCAACCACUCUUUACUGUGAGAAAAUCAGAGUGCUCAAAGCAGGCAUUUGCCGUGAAUGUAUUAGCAUGGAAUAAUAGAAUAGGACUCGGUUCUAUUUUGUUGGUUUGUUGGGACUGAGUAAUGAUUAAGAGGGACAGUUGGGGGCAUUUGUAUUCCGGCGCUAGAGGUGAAAUUCUUAGAGUGCCGGAAGACAAACUGCUGCGAAAGCGUCUGCCAAGGAUGUUUUCAUUGA